RNAcentral lists this transfer-messenger RNA (349 nucleotides) under chicken gut metagenome. It matches the Rfam family "transfer-messenger RNA". From Rfam's summary of the family: Bacterial tmRNA, also known as 10Sa RNA or SsrA, is named for its dual tRNA and mRNA-like properties. Its role is to liberate the mRNA from a stalled ribosome. The record is from RNAcentral.
GGGGGUGUUUCAGAUUCGACUUGUGCGCAAGGUGACGUUAAGCAUGCCGAAGUCCCUGCUUCGUUAAAAAGGGAAAUUAAACAAAUAAAAUAACAACAAUCAAAAUUACGAGCUCGCUGCAGCCUAAUAGCAGUCGUCGCGACGGAAAGGUCUGCGGUUCCGACGUCGGCGUGUUUCAGCAGAGAACGGUUCGGGGAAGCGUCCGGAUUUCCGAACGGCAUUACGGACUCGGGGAGUAAGGGAUUUGCCUGAUAGACUUUACGCCCGACAAAAACAAUCAACGCUAAGCAUGUAGAAAAAUUUUACCGACCGCAUGAGUACAGGGGUGCAAGUCCGCUCACCUCCACCA